RNAcentral lists this ribosomal RNA (1407 nucleotides) under Disparocypha biedermanni. RNAcentral's name for it is "eukaryotic LSU rRNA". It matches the Rfam family "Eukaryotic large subunit ribosomal RNA", at positions 599 to 1723 of the family's 3401-position model. Lineage: Eukaryota; Metazoa; Arthropoda; Insecta; Odonata; Chlorocyphidae. The record is from RNAcentral.
ACGAAGCGAGAAGUGGACUCGCCUGCCCCACGGCGUCCGGCCCUCCGCGAGCACCCGAGGGGGUUCGGGCCUCGGACCCGGUCCGAUCCCGUCCCCGCAUCGGGGCUGUCUGCGAAAGGAGGUGUCCUCGGACGGAGUCGAACUCAUUCUCCGGUCCGCGACGCUACGGCUUGGAUGGUCCACCCGACCCGUCUUGAAACACGGACCAAGGAGUCUAACAUGCGCGCGAGUCGUUGGGUCGGACACGCUCCGCUAAACCCAUAGGCGCAAUGAAAGUGAAGGCCGCCGCGAGGGCGGCCGAGGGAGGACGGGGCCGCGGGAGCGGUCCCCGCACCCCCGGGGCGUCUGAUCCCUCACCGCGAGGGGAGGCGCACCCAGAGCGCACACGUUGGGACCCGAAAGAUGGUGAACUAUGCCUGGCCAGGACGAAGUCAGGGGAAACCCUGAUGGAGGUCCGUAGCGAUUCUGACGUGCAAAUCGAUCGUCGGAGCUGGGUAUAGGGGCGAAAGACUAAUCGAACCAUCUAGUAGCUGGUUCCCUCCGAAGUUUCCCUCAGGAUAGCUUGCGCUCGGAGGAGAGUCUCAUCCGGUAAAGCGAAUGAUUAGAGGCCUUGGGGCCGAAACGGCUUCAACCUAUUCUCAAACUUUAAAUGGGUGAGAACUCCGGCUUGCUCGAUUACUCGAAGCCGGAGACGGGGACCCYCGUGUCCCCCGGGAUCGGAGUGCACAGUGGGCCACUUUUGGUAAGCAGAACUGGCGCUGUGGGAUGAACCAAACGACGGGUUAAGGCGCCCGAAUCGACGCUCAUGGGAAACCAUGAAAGGUGUUGGUUGCUUAAGACAGCAGGACGGUGGCCAUGGAAGUCGGAAUCCGCUAAGGAGUGUGUAAUAACUCACCUGCCGAAGCAACUAGCCCUGAAAAUGGAUGGCGCUGAAGCGUCGUGCCUAUACCCGGCCGUCGCCGCAAGACGGACCCGGCCCCGCGCCGGGUGCCGCCUGACGCGGCGACGAGUAGGAGGGUCGCGGCGGCGAGCGCAGAAGGGUCUGGGCUCGAGCCUGCCUGGAGCCGCCGCCGGUGCAGAUCUUGGUGGUAGUAGCAAAUACUCCAGCGAGGCCCUGGAGGACUGAUGUGGAGAAGGGUUUCGUGUGAACAGCCGUUGCACACGAGUCAGUCGAUCCUAAGCCCUAGGAGAAAUCCGACGCCAACGGCGACGGGAGAAAAAAUUGAAGGUUAGAGACCCGUUGAUCGGGCGAAAGGGAAUCCGGUUCCUAUUCCGGAACCCGGCAGCGGAACCGCUGUUUGUCGGGCCCUCACAAGGGGUUCGUCAGGGUAACCUAAAAGGGCCCGGAGACGCCGUCGGGAGCCCCGGAAAGAGUUUUCUUUUCUGCAUGAGCGUUCGAGUUCCCUG